UAGGGAAUCUUCCGCAAUGGACGCAAGUCUGACGGAGCAACGCCGCGUGAGUGAAGAAGGAUUUCGGUUCGUAAAACUCUGUUGUUAGAGAAGAACAGCGCAUAGAGUAACUGUUAUGCGUGUGACGGUAUCUAACCAGAAAGCCACGGCUAACUACGUGCCAGCAGCCGCGGUAAUACGUAGGUGGCAAGCGUUGUCCGGAUUUAUUGGGCGUAAAGCGAGCGCAGGCGGUCAAUUAAGUCUGAUGUGAAAGCCCCCGGCUCAACCGGGGGGGGUCAAUGGAAACUGGUUAGCUUGAGUGCAGAAGAGGAGGAUGGAAUUCCAUGGGUAGGGGUGGAAUGGGUAGAUAUAUGGAGGAACGCCAGUGGCGAAGGCGACUCUCUGGUCUGUAACUGACGGUGAGGUUCGAAAGGGGGGGUAACAAACAGG
RNAcentral lists this ribosomal RNA (429 nucleotides) under Bacteroidota bacterium. RNAcentral describes it as "Bacteroidetes bacterium partial 16S ribosomal RNA". It matches the Rfam family "Bacterial small subunit ribosomal RNA", at positions 355 to 776 of the family's 1533-position model. The record is from RNAcentral. Lineage: Bacteria; Pseudomonadati; Bacteroidota.